AUGUCGUCCUCCUCAAGCAUCGGCCAGUCCUCCCUUCCUGGGCAGGUCACGGAGAAGCUCACCCGCACCAACUACGUGUUGUGGCGUGCGCAGGUGACACCGCAGCUGAGGGGAGCUAGUUUCUUCGGCUACGUCAACCAGACCAUGCCGGAACCUGCCAAGUUCCUCACCACGAAGGACAAGGACGGGAAAGAUGAACAGACGCCGAAUCCUCUUCAUGCGAUCUGGUUCAAGGAAGGACAGCAGGUACUUGGUUACUUGCUAAACAAUCUCACCAAGGAAGUCCUCGUGCAGGUCACAUCCAUAGCU
This 309-nucleotide ribosomal RNA is filed under the name Triticum aestivum (bread wheat). RNAcentral describes it as "partial small subunit ribosomal RNA". The record is from RNAcentral. Lineage: Eukaryota; Viridiplantae; Streptophyta; Magnoliopsida; Poales; Poaceae.